Molecule: unclassified non-coding RNA, 457 nt
Filed under: Hevea brasiliensis (rubber tree)
Lineage: Eukaryota; Viridiplantae; Streptophyta; Magnoliopsida; Malpighiales; Euphorbiaceae
Source: RNAcentral
GGAGAUCUCCUCCAAUGUCUCAUCAAUUUGUGCCUGUAAAUCUGGUGCUAGGCUGCUAGCCCCUUCGUCCUGCAAGAGCUUCAACGCUCUCUCCAGCAUCUCACAACCUCGGAUGAAAUCUGGGGGAUUCAAUGCCAUAGCAUCCCUCGACAUGUCCACAUAAGCAAGCGCCAUUGCCAGCACAACAUCUUGCUUGAAUGCCUUGGGCAGCCUCUCUCGAAGCAAAUUGUCUCCAAUUUCNAAUUUCCCCUGCUUCUUGCAAAACACAUAGAGCCCCAGGAACCUUGUCCCACGGGACCUGAGUGAUGAUAGUAUCCUGCUCGUCAUCGAUCAAGCCUUGAUUAUAUUCUCUUCUUGAUUUUGGAUCCGCUAGAGUUUCAAAUGCGGCUUGGAGAAUCUGCCGACGACUAAUCAAUGCAUCUUGACUGAAGCCCAACUGAGGCGGCUUAGAAAUCCU